UUAGGACCGUGGUGGAACUACAUGGACCGUGGUGGAACUACAACCAUGCCCUAUGAAAGUAAUAAUGUUAGUCUGACAAAUAAGGUAUAUCGUGGAUAAGAAAUAAAAGUCUAAUUCUAUUUGAACUUCUUAAUGUUAGGUUAAUUAUACUUACAAUAUAUAUUCUUUAAAAGAUAAGGAUAUAGUGUAUAAUAUGAGUUGUAAAUAGAAUAUAUUAAUUAAUGGGGGAGAAGGAGAAGGAUAAUAUGUAAUAGUUUGUGAGUGUUGGUGGUGGUGGCUUGAGAAACUGAAAAAUGUUGGCAUCAUAUGACUCAUGACCACUUCAAUUGUAUUAUGCAAUCACCAUAACUUUAUCUUCUUUAAUCCCAAACUCCUUUGGGACUCUUCUUAUCCUUCUUCUUCUUCUUUUUCUUCUUCUUCAUCCAAUUUUAUGUUUGGAGGCACCAAAACCAGUACUAGGCGUCUUCUUCUUAAUAAUAAAUUCAUUUCUAAAGCCGAAAAACAUUCAAGCAGUAGUAGUUGGUGGAAUAACUUUUUCUUCCAAGACGAUGGGAAUUGGUUUGGUUUGAAGGAAGAUGAUAUGUUGGAGAUGGAGGUGGAGAAAGGUGAGACUGAGUUAUCUGAAGAAAACAAAUUUGAAGCAUGGAAGCAGAGAGCUGAAGCAAUUAUAGAGUUGAGGGAAGCUCAACAAGAUAAUAUGAACCAGGAUUCCAGGAAAUGGGAAGAUUGGCUGCUUUUGGAUUCUGGUUCUGAUUCUGAUUCUGAUUCUGAUUCUUGGAUGAAGGAUUAUUAUAAUGACAACAAGGUGCCACCUGAUUAUGAUUAUAGGGAUGAAGAAAGGGGUUUGGUAAAGUCUAUUAGGUCAUUCAUUUAUGGAGGUCAACAACAAGAUGAAGACAUGCUUUAUGAAGACCGUGUUUUUCAAUAUGCCUCUUCAAAUUCAGUAAAUGCACCAUUCUUUCUCAACAACUAGAUUCUUUGUUACACAUCUAUUUUAAUAUGUUCCACUUGUUAUCUAUUACAGGCUAAGUUUUUGGCAGUGUUGAUUAUUAUUCCUUGGGCGUUGGACUUUCUGGUUCAUGACUAUAUACUCAUGCCUUUUUUAGACAGGUAAUCAACCGAGCCUAUCAUUGUUACAGUCAAACCAUGAUACUUUGAACUUGUACUUGAGUUAGUCAUUAACAUGAUACUAGAAUUGACUGAUUAUGAAUUUUAUCCUUGCUGCCUUCAUUAGUUCAUUCAUUAUUAAAUUAAAUUUUAGAACACGUUAAACUGGACUUAUGCGUUGUUCAAAUUUUCAAGCUCAAGAGAUCUUCACUCUUGCAUGAUGAGCAUGUUAGAGAUGUAAAUCCAUCUGUGAGAUUCCAUUUAACACCUUAAGCUUUUGGACGAUUGAUAUAACAAUAAGAAUCAUAGUGCCAGUAUUAAUGCCUAGUGAUAUUAUAUACGACAUAAGCUUAUUUAUUUUAGAUUAGAAGAAAACUUGACCUUUAUCAUUCUUUCUCUUUGCAAUCUUUCCUCUUUGGUUAAAAAAAUGUUCACUUUGUUAAUUUUGUACUUGUCUGUUACUUUGAACUUCUUGAAUUGAAAAUUUUCUUAUAACUAGUGUAGUAACUUCAUAAUAUCCACAGAUAUGUGAAGACUGUACCACUUGCAGCCCAAGUCCUUGAUGUGAGAAGAUAUCAAAAACUUCAAAUAGUUGAGGAAUUAAGAACUGAGAGAAAACGGUUCGAGUUUGAGGUGGAGAUUGGUAAAUCUCCUCCUCUUUCUGAUGAUGAUAUCUGGUGGGAAUUAAGGCAUAAAGCGUAAGAUCAACCCUUCUUUCUUUUGCCUGAUCAUGUUUAAUGGUGCUAUUUCUUUUCCCUACACUGUUUAAUACCGCAGCUUUAACCAGAAUAUGAGCAUCAAAUUGAACUAUAAAUUAUUGUAGUCCCAAAAUCCAAUCAUGCUGAAAAUUGUGCACUCUUCCCAUCCUUUAAUGUAGGCCCUCAUUGAUCUUCAUUAAAUCUGCUUCUUAUUCAUUUCCUGAAUUCUGGGUUACAAAAUACCUUGUGAAUUGAUGAAGGUUUUGAACAAAAAGACCUGGACUUGUUGGUUUUUUGUUAUGGUCUUUUACAAGAGUAAUUAUUUAAGGUGACCUUGUCAACCUUUGAUUGCUGCAUUACAGCUGUUUUUAUUGCCCUUCUAUUUGUUGCUCCAACAGAUUGGAUUUGAGAGAUGAGUGGAGACUAGAGAAUCGCCGAGCAUUUGCCAACAUUUGGUCAGAUGCGGUUUAUGGAAUCUCUUUAUUUGUUCUUUUAUACUUCAACAAGAGCCAAGUAAGUUUACCAUUUUUUUUCCAGCUAUAUAUUUUGAUGCUUUACUGGUUUUCUUGGACUUGUUAUCUAUCAGAAAUAUCACACUGUUACUUUGUAUUAUGUGACUAUCAAUUAUGGUGAAUAACUAACACACACCAAUUUUUUUAUUUAUUUUUUAUCUUUUAAGAGAAUAGCUCCAUUAGAGAAAUAAGUGUUUAGAAGUGAAAGAAGGUCAAGGGAAUAAUUUACUUAUCAUUAAUUCCACAACUUUGAUAGAUAUAGUUAUUUUUGGAGAUUAUACUAGAGGAAUGGUUUGUCGAUUACUAUCAUUUGUCGGUUAUUGUCAUUGCCCACCACGAGCAACAGCCUCUAGCAAUAAAGCACUUAGAAGCAGAUAAGGCAUCAUAUGAAUCAAAUGAGAUAAUAAGAUAGGAGCAAGAUCAUUUACCUUUCCAGAGGGCAAUUAGGGUGUCGAGAGAAUGGAUCUGGAGAAUUGGGGGUUAGGAUGUUGAGGUGAAGUGGCAGGUGGAGGUGGUCUGAAACUCACAGAACCACAACAUGCUAUUGCAUCUGUGAAUGUAACAGUGGUUUAAGGCAGUCAACUAGGUCUUUGAAGUUGAAAUAGUUUGGUGCACAUGAUACAUUAGUUGGAAGGAAUGAUAUGUGAUGGAAGGAGAAGUGCAAGUUAAAAGAAGCUAACUGUUGAAAUCAAACAAGAGAGAAACAACUUUACCCUUUUGUGUUUGGAACUACCUUAUGAAUUUACAUUUAAGAGACUGGAGGCCACAGCUG
Molecule: long non-coding RNA, 3089 nt
Filed under: Lupinus angustifolius (narrow-leaved blue lupine)
Lineage: Eukaryota; Viridiplantae; Streptophyta; Magnoliopsida; Fabales; Fabaceae
Description: long non-coding RNA (LANG_LNC001139)
Source: RNAcentral